AUGAACCGGCUGAUUUCGAGAAGGAAAGAAACCGAUUUUGGGGAACCAACAGAGCGUAUUAAUCAAUCACCUCUAAGAAAGCUGCGGCAGAAGUUAGCACACAGUAUCCAAAUUGUGUUAUUGCAGAACAUUUGCCCCCCCUCACCCCCAUUCAAUGAAUCUUCGAAUUCCCCUGUGAUUGAUGACCACCUUAAAAAAUGGCACACUCUUGUCUGUAUUGAAGGAUAUAAUUCGUCUCCUUUUUGUAUUUUUCUUCUUUUUCUUGGGGAGGUAGAUCUUCUUAUUCCCAUUACUUUGACCUUUUCUCCAGUUUCUUAG
RNAcentral lists this ribosomal RNA (318 nucleotides) under Triticum aestivum (bread wheat). RNAcentral's name for it is "partial small subunit ribosomal RNA". The record is from RNAcentral. Lineage: Eukaryota; Viridiplantae; Streptophyta; Magnoliopsida; Poales; Poaceae.